GAUGAACGCUGGCGGCGUGCCUAAUACAUGCAAGUAGAACGCUGAAGGAAGGAGCUUGCUCUUUCCGGGUGAGUUGCGAACGGGUGAGUAACGCGUAGGUAACCUGCCUGGUAGCGGGGGAUAACUAUUGGAAACGAUAGCUAAUACCGCAUAACAGUAGAUGUUGCAUGAUAUCUACUUAAAAGGUGCAAUUGCACCACUACCAGAUGGACCUGCGUUGUAUUAGCUAGUUGGUGAGGUAACGGCUCACCAAGGCGACGAUACAUAGCCGACCUGAGAGGGUGAUCGGCCACACUGGGACUGAGACACGGCCCAGACGCCUACGGGAGGCAGCAGUAGGGAAUCUUCGGCAAUGGACGGAAGUCUGACCGAGCAACGCCGCGUGAGUGAAGAAGGUUUUCGGAUCGUAAAGCUCUGUUGUAAGAGAAGAACGAGUGUGAGAGUGGAAAGUUCACACUGUGACGGUAUCUUACCAGAAAGGGACGGCUAACUACGUG
RNAcentral lists this ribosomal RNA (497 nucleotides) under uncultured bacterium. RNAcentral describes it as "partial 16S ribosomal RNA". It matches the Rfam family "Bacterial small subunit ribosomal RNA", at positions 28 to 507 of the family's 1533-position model. The record is from RNAcentral.